ACUUUUAAAGGAAAAUUAUCUUCCGACGGGUAUAGGAACCACCCUUCUUGGUGCAAAUCCAAGUAAAAGUAAUG
This 74-nucleotide transfer RNA is filed under the name Brookesia minima (minute leaf chameleon). RNAcentral describes it as "partial tRNA-Leu". The record is from RNAcentral. Lineage: Eukaryota; Metazoa; Chordata; Lepidosauria; Squamata; Chamaeleonidae.